AGUGGAUGGGGAGCAACCUAGUUGUGCGUGUGUAAAGGUAAUGCCAAGAAAAGCGGUGAUCAUGAUGAAAAUCAAUUCCCGGUACCCGAAACCGACACAGGUGGGCAAGUAGAGAAUACUAAGGGGCGCGAGGUAACUCUCUCCAAGGAACUCGGCAAAAUGACCCCGUAACUUAGGGAGAAGGGGUGCCACCGAGAGGUGGUCGCAGUGAAGAGGCCCAGGCGACUGUUUAGCAAAAACAUAGGUCUCUGCAAACUCGAAAGAGGAGGUAUAGGGGCUGACGCCUGCCCAGUGCCGGAAGGUUAAAGAAGUUGGUCAGUCUUAGGAUAAAGCUAGCGACUGAAGCCCCGGUGAACGGCGGCCGUAACUAUAACGGUCCUAAGUAGCGAAAUUCCUUGUCGGGUAAGUUCCGACCCGCACGAAAGGCGUAACGAUCUGGGCGCUGUCUCGGAGAGAGGCUCGGCGAAAUAGGAUUGUCUGUGAAGAUACGGACUACCUGCAUUUGGACAGAAAGACCCUAUGAAGCUUUACUAUAGCUUGGAAUUGUGUUCGGGCUUCCUGUGCGCAGGAUAGGUGGGAGGCGAAGAAGGUAUUCUUGUGGGGAUACUGGAGCCAACGGUGAGAUACCACUCUCAGGAGGCUAGAAUUCUAACUUAAUUAAGGACAGUUUCAGGUGGGUAGUUUGACUGGGGCGGUCGCCUCCAAAAAGGUAACGGAGGCGUACAAAGGUUCCCUCAGACUGGUUGGAAAUCAGUCGCAGAGUGCAAAGGCAGAAGGGAGCUUGACUGCGAGAAGUACAGUUCGAGCAGGGUGGAAACACGGUCUUAGUGAUCCGACGGUGCUGUGUGGAAGGGCCGUCGCUCAACGGAUAAAAGUUACUCUAAGGAUAACAGGCUGAUCUCCCCCAAGAGUUCACAUCGACGGGGAGGUUUGGCACCUCGAUGUCGGCUCAUCGCAACCUGGGGCGGAAGUACGUCCCAAGGGUUGGGCUGUUCGCCCAUUAAAGCGGUACGUGAGCUGGGUUCAGAACGUCGUGAGACAGUUCGGUCCAUAUCCGAUGUAGGCGUGAGAAUAUUGAGAGGAGCCUUCCUUAGUACGAGAGGACCGGGAAGGACGCACCGCUGGUGUACCUGUUAUGAUGCCAAUUGUAAACGCAGGGUAGCCAAGUGCGGAGAGGAUAACCGCUGAAAGCAUCUAAGUGGGAAGCCCACCUCAAGAUGAGUAUUCUGGUGUAAGGUCACGGGAAGACGACCCGUAAAUAGGCACGAGGUGGAAGUGCAGAGAUGUAUGAAGCCGAAGUGUACUAAUAGACCGUCGGCUUGAC
RNAcentral lists this ribosomal RNA (1324 nucleotides) under metagenome. RNAcentral describes it as "bacterial LSU rRNA". It matches the Rfam family "Bacterial large subunit ribosomal RNA", at positions 1561 to 2925 of the family's 2925-position model. The record is from RNAcentral.